GGGGGAGACACAAGUCUCUGGGGCCAGGCCUGGGGUCUGUCCCUUAGGUUCUCCUCACCUCCGUUAGCCUCCUAGUGCAGAGCGCUCCAAGCCAGGAUCUCAAAAGUCUUGGGCUGAAGAAGUGGGAGAAGGUGGCAGCAGUGGCGGUGGGGUCGACAGGGGAGUCAAAGACGGAAUGAGCAGGCUGGAUGAAUACUCCCAGGAGACAAUGUGGCCAUCUCAAGACAGGCACUGGACAAUGGCUGAAGACUUGUCUGAAGACUGGAAAUAUUUUGCAAAUUCAGAGAGAAAAAAAGGCCCCUCUGACUACACCAUACUCUAAGGAUACCUUAUUAAGGUGAUCCUGUCCACCUAAUACAGCACCUCAUGUGGAAUAACAGAAGCCACCUGCAGGAGCUGUGGUGAUGACUCACAGGUGCUUCCUACACAAGAAGUCACAUGACCACAGAGUGUCAUUUGUCAAAGAACCAAGAACUUGUUCAAAACUCUACAUAGCAUCCAAUCUAUCACGUGGAUAUGCAAUAAUGAGAGCCUUCUGAAGAUGCCUAGACAAUCCUGGGAUGAGUAACAGUCUUUUAUGGAACUGAAAACUGAGUCCUAAUGACCCUGGCACACUGAUGUGUAAACAGCACAAGAGAUAGAACCAGAGCUGAAGACCGUCCAAUCCAGAACAAAGAAAGUCAGAAAUGGCCAUUCCACAAGUGAUAGCCUUUCUGACCAGGACUUACCUAGAGAAGGUCAUCUCCUUCUUCAGCUUAUGGUUGUUCUCAUGGAUCUCAGUGUUCUCCAUCUCUAAGUUGUGCAGAAUUGACAUGACCGCCUCCUCCAUUCUCUCCAGGUCUUCAUAAUAUGGAUUUGCCCUGAAGUGUGGCCUGGCCCCAAAUGAUAGAAUACAAUGAACAUCAGCAUUUAGGAAUAUAUGAACUCAGGGUGGGUCCUGUACUACCCCAGUCCUGGAAGGACACCUUCUGAAUUCUACAUAUUGGAUAUUCUUCAGCUUCAGAAACGUGUUUUUCUGCAUCCAGGACACCAGAAUCUCAGCAUCCAGAUGGAGGGUUCCCUGGCUCCCUUUGUUCAAUCAAGAGGAAAUCUGCAGUCAAGCCAGUUGAGCUAUCAAGAGCCUAGGCCACACCUCUCCAUGCUCCCCCAAACCCAACACACCCAGAAUCCUGUGAUUUCUUUUUUCCUGUCCUGAUAACAGACCAUAUAUCAACCCAAAAUUAUAAUCUGCACAAGGAAUACAAAUAUACAGACAAUUGUGGCCACAUAGGCAAAGAACUGUGCUGUUGACAGUGGGGCUCCCAGAACAAAGCAUUCACAUGACCAUGAAAGUGUUACAGGUAAAUACUCAAGCCAAGACAUAGACUCCUAGAUUCCAAGUGUGGAGGGAAAUAUAAACAUAUAAAAGUUGUGCAUAUGUAUUUGGAUGUAUGCACACACAGACUCACAGACUGAGACACACCCACAAAAAAGAGAAAAGUAAACAGAGUCAGAGAAAGAGAAAGACAAAUAUGGAAACAGAGAGCACUGUGAGAACCAGGAGAAAUGCAUGCACCAUUGCUGUCUCAGAGUGUAAGACACACAGACAACAACAAUCAGGCCUGAGCCUGAGACCUUCUAGUCAAGCAUUGAGAUGAACAGUUUGGGACCAGGUCCCUCAGGCUGCUGCCUGGAUCUUCCAGCACUCAGUCACCUGCCUAGCAAGUACAGAGACUCAUCAUAAACUCACUGCAAUUACAAUCUUGCACAGCCACCAGCUGUCAAGAGCUUUGCAAAUGCACACUGGGAACUCACUCUCCCUGACUUUAUCCCUGAAUUCUUCAUUCAGACCACAAAUCCUGCUUUUCAAUAAAUGGAAGCAGAUGAGUCCAUUUUCCAUCUCGCUCCUCAGGAAGGGUCAGGUUCUGAAUCUCCUCUAUAUGGGAGGUGAGGUUUAGCACAUGGUGGUUAGGGAGGCACAGCUUUCUAGAACCCAAAACCUUAAUAGGAUGAGAUGAAGGUGACCUUGCAGACCCAGGAAUGAAACAAGAAUGUUUGGAGCAAUUCAUACCUGUUUUUCAUAGAUCUCUCUGUCAGAAACCUCAGGCGAUCUCUCAGGUCAUUUCUCUCCUCGGUAAUGAGCUGCAGCUCUUUAAUCAGCCUCUCCUUUUCCUUCUUGGCCUGCUUCUCACUUAGGGCAGUUCCAGUGGAUGAUGUUUCUCUCCCAGGCUCUGUAGGUAGAAGGACACAAGUGAAAAUGCAUGGGGAGAAUGCAUAGAGUGUACAUAGACCACAGUGAGUCCUAAACAGGAGAACAAGCCUGGAACCCAGUGUCACUGCAAGGAGUUUGGUCUUUGCUUAAGAGGCCUCCUCAGGGGAUCUCAGUUCUCCCACUACUCUAUAGAGACCAAGAGAUGUAAGCAGCCAGGUGUUCCCUAUGCCGGACAUCACGUGCUUACAUGUACCACGGAGAUGGCUUCUCCAGGAUUAUUAUCAACUGAACAGGGUACAACUUGGUUUCAGGCCCCUUACCCCUGUGGUUUCAGAAGUCAGAUGAUAAAUUCACCAUCCACAAGACUUGAGUGAUUGGAGACACUCAGAUGUCCUACCCUGACACUAUAGGUCAACAACUUUGGAUUUAAAACACAUUUCCAUGGAGGACAUGUUCAACAGACUUAUCAAUUCACCUAUAUGAAAUAACAAAUGCCCCAGAAGUUCCAAUAGGUUACAGGCUGAAUCUUGGUCCACAUGUUCCAAAUAGUUUUGGUAUUGUAGAAAAAUGUUUGUAACACACAUCCUCUAAUAUAUAAAGCUAACGAUGACCCUGCCAGUUAGAAGAAAUCAGAGGAGGUCUAAGAACAUAAGGUUAUUGCCUGGAGCACAAUUCUCUCCCUGUAACUCUGUCAGAUAUCCACUGUAUUUAAAAAAAGCAAUGAUAGUGAAAUACAUUGCUGCCCUGUCUAAACUCAGAAAAGGUGGACCCUCCAUGACUCCUCAUGGUGUUAUUGUAUCAAUGUAACAUAGCAAAUGAACUGUGAAAGUAAAGACCAGAAGUUCACAGUAUAAUAGCAUUGGCCUUACCAUAUCCUCCCUGUGGGGAUGGGGAAACUAAAGUUCUGAAAUCCUUGACUGUAAGGAAUUGUGAUAUUCAUGGAAAUUCAAUUCCUUUUCAGAUGUUCCAGUUGUUGUGGGCCAUUGCUAGAAAGGUCAGCUUAAGCCUGCAGCCCCCCUGACAGGAAGCUCAAAAUAUACUGCCCAGAACUUACUCCACCUUCCCCAGAAGUGCUGUCUUUGUCCAUCAUUACUUUGAGACGAAAGGCCAGACUCCUUCACUCUAGUCUCUCCACAAUCGACGUUCCCCCUCCCAAAACGCUUGCGAAGAUGGGAAAACAUGUCUUAGCUUGUAACUGCCAGACUCAGACUGAGAGAAACUAGGGCACUGGUUGUCACUACAACACUGGUGACAUCACAGAGGAUGCCAGAACUCUCUAGGAGACAAUAGAAUGUCCAAGAAGGGACAGCUGAUGUCAUGGGGAGCAGACUUUGCCUCCCUGCUAAUGUUCUCCCUGUACUGAGCAUAAGCAGAGGUGCCCUUUCCAGGAGACUUUCCUGGGGCAGAGCCACUGAGCAUCUCCUGCUUCCAAAGCCAAAUUUUCCUCAAGGCUUGAUUAGAAAAACCUUAGUAAUUCCUAUGCAUCUAAAUGAAUGUUUCCUUCCAUAUCUUGCCCCAAAAUGUCUCAUCCUAACUCAAAUUGUCCUCAUUCACCAAUGUUAGCCAUUAAAACUUCCUGAGAUUUCAUACCAGCUUGAUUAUGCAGUCAAAAGUUCUCCUGUCUCAUUAUGUACGGGUGCUUUAAAUCACAUCAAGAAAUAGUCUGCAUGGUAGGUUACAACAUGGGUGUGUGUUAGGGGAACACUCAUGAAAUCAUGUGCUUAGCAAUGGACAAUUGCCAGAAAAUUCCUUAGGAGAAAGAGUUGAAGUCUUUAUGGUGCUAGGAACAGCGUGGAGACCAGUUGGCAGAGGAAAGUGAAAUAUUGGAACCACCAAUGAAGGGAACCUCAUGCUGCUUGUGGGGUUCUCCUCUCUGCACCAAUGUUGCCAAAGGAGCACUGCUCCCAGGCCUGAGUGAGAUAUACCAUGAGCUUCUAUCAGAAGAAUAAAAUAAUCAAGAGAUAUAGGGGGUGCAGAUAAAGGUGUAGGACGAGGCUAUAAACAUCACUACGUGGAUAGAGGAAGAUCCCUGCACUUGUGCUCUGGGUCAUGGGCUUCCCCACCAAACACAAAAGCAUCUGUCACAGUAAAAAAUGGAUACUGUAUUGAAUGCACACACUAACACUGAUUGAUCACAUCCAUAGCCCAGAUUUUGGGGGCAGAUCCAUGGCCCCAAAUAUCUUCCUCUCAACUUAUACAGCAAAAAAUAAGAAAGAAAGAAAAAAGUCAAAACACAAAGCUCAAGCUUCUCAUAUGAGGAUUGCAGGAAGUGUUAUAUGGUAGUCAGUUCUGAUUAGGCCAUUUUAGAUAGAACAGUGCACAGUGACCCUUAAUGUGAUGGGUCCUAUAUAAAGCUUUCUGAAAUAUUGGAAUUUUAACAAGCCUCAUCCAGAACAUACCGCAGAGGAAAGGAUGUGAUCACCGUGUCCUUGCUCUCUAUCAGGUUAUUUAUCUGUGUCCCUGAUUGUCAGACAUAUCAGAGCAACACUCUGAAAUAGCUGGUAGACGUGGAACAAAGUGGCUCAAACUAUAGUUGUGGGUUACACACCUCAACUGUCAAAGGCUAAUGCUGUCCUCACAGUCCUUGGAGGCCACUCUUGUAAGACUAUCUAUUGGAAAGUGGAAGGGGGUUUAUCUGAGCUCAAAGUGAACCUGGCCAGCCAGGGAGAGGGCAACAUGGGAUAUUUGAGACCCUGUCUAAAACCAGCACAGAAACCCACCCUUCAUUCAAAGCAUCAUCUACGAAUUCUCAAUUUUUUACCAUUCUCUCAAUACCAGUCUUUCACUCUGGAAUGGUAGAAAAGAACUGGGAAUGAUCUUUCUAUUCUCAGGACAUUAAUCUCUCUUUCCUUAGGUCCACAUUAAGAACACAUGCAAAUGGGUAUGACCAUCUGAACAACUUAGUAUCAUCUACUCAGUAUAUGUAGCAUAAUACUGUGCCUAUGACAAUCUCAAGCUUCCUUGAGUUUCGCUGACCCAGCAAGAAAUAUGAAGUACUGAGGCCAAACCCCAGUGAUCCUUUCAAGGGUUUAGAAGAAAGCCAUCAGAGAAACUCCACUUCUUUGUCCUUAGAUUAAAUCACAUUGACACAAUGUGAACCUGGUGCACUAUCUAACCAUGUAUCUUUCUCCCAACCCCACCUUUCUGAGUUCAGUCCAUGGGAACCUGCAUGGGGAGAAUGCAUAGAGUGUACAUAGACCACAGUGAGGCCUAAACAGGAGAACAAGCCUGGAAUCCAGUGUCGCUGCAAGGAGUUUGGUCUUCGCUUAAGAGACCUCCUCAGUGGCUCUCAGUUCUCCCACUACUCUAUAGAGACCAAGAGAUGUAAGCAGCCAGGUGUUCCCUAUGCCUGCUGACACACGCAAUAAAUGCAGUAAAUUUUAAUUUCUGUUCAGUUGUUAGGUAACUUACUUACACUUGCAUAUUGCUGUGGAAGUGAUGGGGUUUCAUGAUCAGCAUUGCAUUUAACAAUGCAUAACCAAUCAUCCCUCCUAGAAUGACUCUGUAUAUAGAGAAAGAAAAUGUAUUAGAAUGGCUUAUAGGCUGUGGUACAGCUAAUUCAACAAGGAAUGGAAGGUCCAAAACGCAGUAGUUGCCCCUGUUGAAGCCAAUCCCCCUAGCAUAGCUGUAGCCAUUUUGUUCCAUGCCUGCCAGAUAGUUCAUAUUCUUGCUGUAAUAUGUCCGCCCGUUAUUGUUGUCUGAAAAUAAUUAGACUCACAGCAGGGUCAGGCAUGAUCACAUAACUUGUGUAUUUUUUUAUUGGUUAUUUUGUUUAUUUACAUUUCAAAUGUUAACCCCCUUUCCAGUUUCUCCUCCAAAAACCCUGCAUUCCACCCCCUUCCCCAGCCUCCUCGAGGGUGCUCCCCCACCCAACCAUUCCUGAACCACUGGGUGGAGGUUCUUUAUGUUGUGAGGUUUCUUAAUCUUAAAUUCCAUAACUAUAAGCUUCAUGUAGGACCCAUAAAAUUAAAGGUCAAUAUGAGGGCUGCAGAGAUGGCUCCAUGGUUAAGAGCACUGACUGCUCUUCCAGAGGUCCUGAGUUCAAAUCCCAGCAA
This is a non-coding RNA of Rattus norvegicus (Norway rat), 6246 nucleotides long. The record is from RefSeq and is a predicted model, not a curated record. NCBI's taxonomy places the organism in Eukaryota, Metazoa, Chordata, Mammalia, Rodentia, Muridae.